AACGAACGCUGGCGGCGUGGAUAAGACAUGCAAGUCGGACGCUGAGAGUAGGGUAGCAAUAUUCUACUUUUGGAGUGGCGUAAGGGUGCUUAACACGUGGGUAAUUUGCCGCAAAGCCCGGAAUAACCCCGAGAAAUCGGGGCUAAUACCGGAUGUGACCUCCUGGGGGCAUCCUUGGGAGUUGAAAGCUGGGGACUGUAACAGGCCUGGCAUUUUGCGAUAAGCCCGCGGCCUAUCAGCUAGUUGGCGAGGUAACGGCUCACCAAGGCUUGGACGGGUAGCUGGUCUGAGAGGACGACCAGCCACACUGGAACUGAGACACGGUCCAGACACCUACGGGUGGCAGCAGUCGAGAAUUUUUCUCAAUGGGGGAAACCCUGAAGGAGCGACGCCGCGUGGGGGAUGAAUGGCUUCGGCCCGUAAACCCCUGUCAUUUGGGAUCAAAAGUGAUUCAUGAAUAAUGGGUUACCUGAUUGUACCGGAAGAGGAAGGGACGGCUAACUCUGUGC
Molecule: ribosomal RNA, 509 nt
Filed under: uncultured bacterium
Lineage: Bacteria
Description: bacterial SSU rRNA
Rfam family: Bacterial small subunit ribosomal RNA
Source: RNAcentral